This 427-nucleotide ribosomal RNA is filed under the name uncultured bacterium. Its description in RNAcentral is "bacterial SSU rRNA". It matches the Rfam family "Bacterial small subunit ribosomal RNA", at positions 355 to 776 of the family's 1533-position model. The record is from RNAcentral.
UGGGGAAUAUUGGACAAUGGGCGCAAGCCUGAUCCAGCAAUACCGCGUGUGUGAAGAAGGCCUUAGGGUUGUAAAGCACUUUCAAUUGGGAGGAAAAAACAAGGGUCAAUACCCCUUGUCUUGACAUUACCUUUAGAAGAAGCACCGGCUAACUCCGUGCCAGCAGCCGCGGUAAUAUGGAGGGUGCAAGCGUUAAUCGGAAUUACUGGGCGUAAAGAGUGCGUAGGCGGCUCGUUAAGUCAGAUGUGAAAGCCCUGGCUCAACCUGGGAACUGCAUUUGAAACUGGCGAGCUAGAGUUGAGUAGAGGUAAGUGGAAUUUCAGGUGUAGCGGUGAAAUGCGUAGAUAUCUGAAGGAACACCAGUGGCGAAGGCGACUUACUGGACUCAAACUGACGCUGAGGUACGAAAGCGUGGGUAGCAAACAGG